Erinaceus europaeus (western European hedgehog) is the source of this 1053-nucleotide long non-coding RNA. RefSeq lists it as uncharacterized. The transcript is spliced from 3 exons. The record is from RefSeq and is a predicted model, not a curated record. NCBI's taxonomy places the organism in Eukaryota, Metazoa, Chordata, Mammalia, Eulipotyphla, Erinaceidae.
AGGGUCCCUGGCCUCACACUCCCGCCCUGGGGCUUUAGGUAGAGCUGCCUGCUGUGGGAGGCCAAGAGGAAGUACACAAAGUACAGAGGCUUGCUGAGAACAGCCUGACCUCUUGGAGGCCCACGCUUCCUGGCAGAGCCAACCGCAAGUUCCGCAUUCCCAUGCCCUGAAACAGUAUAAGUAGCUGGGACAAGAGAAAAAUAAAGGCUUGCUUACUUGCUCCAUGAAGUGACUCUGCUGUUCUGUUAAUCCCGACGCCCUUCUCCUGUCUCGCCGUCACCGUCGGGCUGGACGCGACAAGAAUGACCUCAAAGAAUAGAGGGAAAACAAGAUUCUAAGUCAGGAAUGCAAGGCAAAAACAAGACUUGGCUUUUGCAUAUGGAAGUUCUGCCAACCUCAUAGCCUGACAGAAGUGCAAGAACACGUGCUUUAGAGUGGGACAAGACCGCCAAUAAUGAAAACCAGGAUUGAUUGUGGAAUGUUGACAAAGCAAUAACAAAGUAUGUUCUGUGAAGCAUUAAGAUUAAACACAGAUGAAACUCUCAUCUUGCCAAACUACUUUCAACAUUUCACAAUACUCAUCAGAAAACAGGAUUUCUUCUCACCUUGGGGACAUUCAGGAGUGAUCCUUUCUCAGGGAUUUUGAAACACCAAGCAAGAAAUGAUACUUUUCUGGUGUCUUCCAUUUGCAAGAAGAGUUCCAAUAUAAUGCUCUUUGUCCUCAGACUGCCUUUCUGGUCACCAACUGAGUCCUCACCAAUGUCUGAUGGUUGUGUCCAUUGCAUGGAUGUGCACAUGAAGGUUCACUGAGAAUAACUGACUCAAGGUUUCAAGUGGCAGAUGUGCCCAAGACAAAUUCCUCUGGCCCCUGCUGUUCUAUAAGUCAAAAAAUUAUCUUUAUUUAUUUGAUAGAGACAGACAAAAAUCAAGAAGAAAAGAGAGACAGAUAUGAAGAGAGACAAAGAGACGCCUUCAGCCCUGCCUCACUGCACAUGAAGCUUUCUCCUUGUAGGUGGGGAUUGCAGGCUUAAAGCAGGUGUACCAUUAACCAGC